This 166-nucleotide small nuclear RNA is filed under the name Pogona vitticeps (central bearded dragon). RNAcentral's name for it is "U1 spliceosomal RNA (ENSPVIG00000017054.1)". It matches the Rfam family "U1 spliceosomal RNA". Rfam says of the family: U1 is a small nuclear RNA (snRNA) component of the spliceosome (involved in pre-mRNA splicing). Its 5' end forms complementary base pairs with the 5' splice junction, thus defining the 5' donor site of an intron. The record is from Rfam by way of RNAcentral. Lineage: Eukaryota; Metazoa; Chordata; Lepidosauria; Squamata; Agamidae.
ACUCAUAUCUUGCAGAGGAAAUACCAUGUUAUAAAAGUGGUUUUCUCAGGGGGAUGCUUAUCUAUUGCACUUCAGGUGUGCUGCUGAUCCCUGUGAUUUCCCCAAAUGUGGGAAACUCAACUGCAUAAUAUGUGUUAAUGGGGGAUUGUGUUUGUGAUUUCCCUGG